RNAcentral lists this small RNA (475 nucleotides) under Pongo abelii (Sumatran orangutan). Its description in RNAcentral is "retained intron". Lineage: Eukaryota; Metazoa; Chordata; Mammalia; Primates; Hominidae. The record is from RNAcentral.
AGUAACUAUCACAUCCAAUACUAUUCUAGUUCCAAGAGUGUCAUUUAUGUCAAAAUUGAUACUUAUCUGUGUAUUGUUAUUUUUUUGGUCUUAUGUACUUUUACCUUUUUUAUCACCAAGUUGCUUUGGAAUAUCAUUGGUACUUAAAGACCAGUUUCUUUUGUAGGCUUCAUGAACAGUUGACUGAGUCAGAACAGGCUGCCCAGUGUUACAUCAAAUAUAUCCAAGAUAUCUAUUCCUGUGGGGUAUGUAUCAUACCAUGAGAAUUGUAUUGCUGAUAUUAUUACUGUCACCUCAGUCAUUUUGCUUUCCCUUUCUAGGAAAUAGUAGAACACUUGGAGGAAAGCACUGCUUUUCGCUAUCUGGCCCAGUACUAUUUUAAGUGCAAACUGUGGGAUGAAGCUUCAACUUGUGCACAAAAGUGUUGUGCAUUUAAUGAUACCCGGGAAGAAGGUAAGGCCUUACUCCGGCAAAU